CCCCUAUCUAAUAUCGCACAGGACUCUCAAAUUCAUCUGAAGUGGGGAUCAAGGGUUGGUGGAAAGGAACAAUAUUUUGUUCAAUCAAAUAGCUUUUUCAAUUCUUUUUUUUUUUGGGGGGGGGGGGGGGGGAGACACUCUCUGUGCACCCCUGAAUCUGCCACUUAUCUUUAUCGUGCCCUUUCCAUCUCCAAAAGAAGGGUGGCCAUUUUAUUACCCAACAGGUACAGGCCAUUCAUUAGGAGGCGGUACCCGGUACUUUUACCCUCCUAUGCUAUUGACAAGUACCGCCUAAAUGUAGAAAUUUUUAUAUAAGAUAUUCAUGGAAUAUAUUGAAAAGUACCACCUAGAAACAUGGAAAGUACCAGUCAACAUGAAAGAUAAUGAAACCCCUGCAGGUAUAUGAAACUAAAGCAGCCUUUGUCUUGUCAAAUCUUGAUCCCACUCCCAUACCCCCAUAUCUUCAGCGUUUAUUACUUCUACACAUAAAGUAAAGGUGACUACACCUGAUUAUUUUCUUGUCGAAUUUUUAUCCCCCCCUUUUUUUCUUCACAUGAAACCAUUCCUUCUAAAUCAAACUCUUCUCUAUAUCUAUCUCUUCUUUACAUAAAGUAAUAGUGACCACACCGGAUUAUUUCCUUGUCCACUUUUUACCCCCCCCCUUUUUUUUCUUCACAUGAAACCAUUCCUUCUAAAUCAAACUCUUCUCUAUAUCUAUCUCUUCUUUACUCAAAGUGAUGGUGACCACACCUGAUUAUUUCC
RNAcentral lists this long non-coding RNA (762 nucleotides) under Mytilus galloprovincialis (Mediterranean mussel). Lineage: Eukaryota; Metazoa; Mollusca; Bivalvia; Mytilida; Mytilidae. The record is from RNAcentral.